This 419-nucleotide ribosomal RNA is filed under the name bacterium. RNAcentral describes it as "partial 16S ribosomal RNA". It matches the Rfam family "Bacterial small subunit ribosomal RNA", at positions 355 to 776 of the family's 1533-position model. The record is from RNAcentral.
UGGGGGAUAUUGCACAAUGGGCGAAAGCCUGAUGCAGCGACGCCGCGUGGGGGAUGAAGGACUUCGGGGUGUAAACUUCGUUUGCUCUGAACAAGGCAUGCUAAUGGGUGUGUUGAGUGUAGGGGUUGAUUAGCGCCGGCUAACUACGUGCCAGCAGCCGCGGUAAUACGUAGGGCGCAAGCGUUGUCCGGAAUUAUUGGGCGUAAAGGGCUUGUAGGUGGCUGGUUGCGUCUGUCGUGAAAGCUCAUGGCUUAACUGUGGGUUUGCGGUGGGUACGGGCUGGCUUGAGUGCAGUAGGGGAUGCUGGAAUUCCUGGUGUAGCGGUGGAAUGCGCAGAUAUCAGGAGGAAUACCGGUGGCGAAGGCGGGUCUCUGGGCUGUUACUGACACUGAGGAGCGAAAGCAUGGGGAGCGAACAGG